UACGUAGGGUGCAAGCGUUAAUCGGAAUUACUGGGCGUAAAGCGUGCGCAGGCGGUUUUGUAAGUCUGUCGUGAAAUCCCCGGGCUCAACCUGGGAAUUGCGAUGGAGACUGCAAGGCUGGAGUCUGGCAGAGGGGGGUAGAAUUCCACGUGUAGCAGUGAAAUGCGUAGAGAUGUGGAGGAACACCUGUGGUGUAGACAGCUUACUGGACGAUAACUGACGCUGAGGCACGAAAGCGUGGGUAGCAAACAGG
RNAcentral lists this ribosomal RNA (253 nucleotides) under uncultured bacterium. Its description in RNAcentral is "partial 16S ribosomal RNA". It matches the Rfam family "Bacterial small subunit ribosomal RNA", at positions 524 to 776 of the family's 1533-position model. The record is from RNAcentral.